AGACUGUAGUACAGUGUAGGUGUGGUCAACAAUUGAUGUAAUCAGACUGUAAUACAGUGUAGGUGUGGUCAACAAUUGAUGUAAUCAGACUAAUACAGUGUAGGUUUGGUCAACAAUUGAUGUAAUCAGACUGUAAUACAGUGUAGGUGUGGUCAACAAUUGAUGUAAUAAAGUGUAGGAGUGGUCACCAAUUGAUGUAAUACAGUGUAGGUUUGGUCAACAAUUGAUGUAAUACAGUGUAGGUGUGGUCAACAAUUGAUGUAAUCAGACUGUAAUACAGUGAAGGUGUGGUCAACAAUUGAUGUAAUACAGUGUAGGAGUGGUCACCAAUUGAUGUAAUACAGUGUAGGUUUGGUCAACAAUUGA
This is a long non-coding RNA of Pecten maximus, 366 nucleotides long. RefSeq lists it as uncharacterized. The transcript has 4 exons. The record is from RefSeq and is a predicted model, not a curated record. Lineage: Eukaryota; Metazoa; Mollusca; Bivalvia; Pectinida; Pectinidae.